This 388-nucleotide ribosomal RNA is filed under the name uncultured bacterium. RNAcentral describes it as "partial 16S ribosomal RNA". It matches the Rfam family "Bacterial small subunit ribosomal RNA", at positions 523 to 918 of the family's 1533-position model. The record is from RNAcentral.
AUACGUAGGGAGCGAGCGUUAUCCGGAUUUAUUGGGCGUAAAGGGUGCGUAGGCGGUAAAUUAAGUCUAAGGUUAAAGUGCAGGGCUCAACCCUGUGAUGCCUUAGAAACUGGUUUACUUGAGUUUGGUAGAGGUAAGUGGAACUCCAUGUGUAGCGGUAAAAUGCGUAAAUAUAUGGAAGAACACCAGUGGCGAAGGCGGCUUACUGGGCCACAACUGACGCUGAGGCACGAAAGCGUGGGGAGCAAACAGGAUUAGAUACCCUGGUAGUCCACGCUGUAAACGAUGAAUACUAAGUGUUGGAAAAAUCCAGUGCUGAAGUUAACGCAUUAAGUAUUCCGCCUGAGUAGUACGUACGCAAGUAUGAAACUCAAAUGAAUUGACGGGG